Molecule: transfer RNA, 65 nt
Filed under: Abiotrophia defectiva
Lineage: Bacteria; Bacillati; Bacillota; Bacilli; Lactobacillales; Aerococcaceae
Rfam family: tRNA
About the family: Transfer RNA (tRNA) molecules are approximately 80 nucleotides in length. Their secondary structure includes four short double-helical elements and three loops (D, anti-codon, and T loops).
Source: RNAcentral
CCGUGGUGUAGUGGUUAACAUGCCUGCCUGUCACGCAGGAGAUCGCGGGUUCAAAUCCCGUCGGG